UUGGUGCCUUCGGGAACUCUGAGACAGGUGCUGCAUGGCUGUCGUCAGCUCGUGUUGUGAAAUGUUGGGUUAAGUCCCGCAACGAGCGCAACCCUUAUCCUUUGUUGCCAGCGGUCCGGCCGGGAACUCAAAGGAGACUGCCAGUGAUAAACUGGAGGAAGGUGGGGAUGACGUCAAGUCAUCAUGGCCCUUACGAGUAGGGCUACACACGUGCUACAAUGGCGCAUACAAAGAGAAGCGACCU
Molecule: ribosomal RNA, 244 nt
Filed under: Enterobacter asburiae
Lineage: Bacteria; Pseudomonadati; Pseudomonadota; Gammaproteobacteria; Enterobacterales; Enterobacteriaceae
Also listed under: 6 other names
Description: partial 16S ribosomal RNA
Rfam family: Bacterial small subunit ribosomal RNA
Source: RNAcentral